GCCAGGCAUGGUGAUGCGUGCCUGUAAUCCUAGCUACUUGGGAGGCUGAGGCAGGAGAAUCGCUUGAACCCAGGAGGCAGAGGUUGCAGUGAGCUAAGAUCACGCCACUGCACUCCAGCCUGGGUGAUAGAGCAAGACUCUGACUCAA
Molecule: non-coding RNA, 148 nt
Filed under: Nomascus leucogenys (northern white-cheeked gibbon)
Lineage: Eukaryota; Metazoa; Chordata; Mammalia; Primates; Hylobatidae
Source: Rfam by way of RNAcentral